CAGUCGCCGCGGGAAUACAGAGGGUGCGAGCGUUAAUCGGAUUUACUGGGCGUAAAGCGUGCGUAGGCGGCUUUUUAAGUCGGAUGUGAAAUCCCUGAGCUUAACUUAGGAAUUGCAUUCGAUACUGGGAAGCUAGAGUAUGGGAGAGGAUGGUAGAAUUCCAGGUGUAGCGGUGAAAUGCGUAGAGAUCUGGAGGAAUACCGAUGGCGAAGGCAGCCAUCAGGCCUAAUACUGACGCUGAGGUACGAAAGCAUGGGGAGCAAACAGGAUUAGAUACCCGAGUAGUCCCUGUCUCUUAUAA
RNAcentral lists this ribosomal RNA (301 nucleotides) under uncultured bacterium. RNAcentral's name for it is "partial 16S ribosomal RNA". It matches the Rfam family "Bacterial small subunit ribosomal RNA", at positions 509 to 809 of the family's 1533-position model. The record is from RNAcentral.